GCCAGGCACAGUGUCGUGUGCCUGUGGUCCUAGCUACUUGGGAGGCUGAGGCUAGAGGAUCACUUGAGUCCAGGAGUUCUGGGCUGUAGUGCGCUAUGCCGAUCGGGUGUCCACACUAAGUUCAGCAUCAAUAUGGUGACCUCCUGGAAGCGGGAGGACCACCAGGUUGCCUAAGGAGGGGUGAACUGGCCCAGGUCCGAAAUGGAGCAGGUCAAAACUCCUGUGCUGAUCGGUAGUGGGAUCAUGCCUGUGAAUAGCCACUGCACUCCAGCCUGGGCAACAUAGUGAGACCUUGUCUCU
RNAcentral lists this signal recognition particle RNA (300 nucleotides) under Saimiri boliviensis boliviensis (Bolivian squirrel monkey). RNAcentral's name for it is "Metazoan signal recognition particle RNA (ENSSBOG00000016353.1)". It matches the Rfam family "Metazoan signal recognition particle RNA". From Rfam's summary of the family: The signal recognition particle (SRP) is a universally conserved ribonucleoprotein. It is involved in the co-translational targeting of proteins to membranes. Lineage: Eukaryota; Metazoa; Chordata; Mammalia; Primates; Cebidae. The record is from RNAcentral.